This 497-nucleotide ribosomal RNA is filed under the name uncultured bacterium. RNAcentral's name for it is "partial 16S ribosomal RNA". It matches the Rfam family "Bacterial small subunit ribosomal RNA", at positions 28 to 507 of the family's 1533-position model. The record is from RNAcentral.
GAUGAACGCUGGCGGCGUGCCUAAUACAUGCAAGUCGAGCGAACGGACGAGAAGCUUGCUUCUCUGAUGUUAGCGGCGGACGGGUGAGUAACACGUGGAUAACCUACCUAUAAGACUGGGAUAACUUCGGGAAACCGGAGCUAAUACCGGAUAAUAUUUUGAACCGCAUGGUUCAAAAGUGAAAGACGGUCUUGCUGUCACUUAUAGAUGGAUCCGCGCUGCAUUAGCUAGUUGGUAAGGUAACGGCUUACCAAGGCAACGAUGCAUAGCCGACCUGACAGGGUGAUCGGCCACACUGGAACUGAGACACGGUCCAGACUCCUACGGGAGGCAGCAGUAGGGAAUCUUCCGCAAUGGGCGCAAGCCUGACGGAGCAACGCCGCGUGAGUGAUGAAGGUCUUCGGAUCGUAAAACUCUGUUAUUAGGGAAGAACAUAUGUGUAAGUAACUGUGCACAUCUUGACGGUACCUAAUCAGAAAGCCACGGCUAACUACGUG